GCGGUGUACAAAUUUUACGUGUCCAAUUGCACGGUGUACAUUUUUAUCGUGUCCAAAUUAAAUUUGUCCAGAAUUAAUUUUUCUUGUGUAUAAAAUUAUGUGGCCAAAAUUUCUUUGUCAAAAUGAACCGUGUCUAUUUAAAACGUGUACAUUAUUUUGUGUCCAUUUGCACCGUGUCUAUUUGUACUGUGUCUAAUUGUACUGUGCCCAAGUGAAGGCCACUCUUUAACUACAAAUUUAACUGUAAAAUAAAAUAAAUAUAAUUAAAUAUAAUGCUAUAUUAAUGCAAGAAGAAUGAAAAGUAAAAUAUGACGUGUCGUUCCAUUUUUGAGAAGUUGACUCGUAAUCAUUUUGUAGUCUUUUGUCUCAUGUAUGCCUCAUAAUUUACAAUUUACAAUAAAAUAAGUUAGGGAAUCAAAAAUAUAAAUAAAAGUUGAAUGGUUAAAAAUGUUGAAUAUGAUCUUUGUAAAUGUAUGAAGAAAAUUGUAUUACUUAUAAUAAAUUGUUUUGGGAACAACGAUUCUAUGCGAGUCGAAUAUGGGUAAGAUGCCUUAUCAGUAUAUUUCUAUACCUUAUCCAUAUUCGAUUUGCAUAGAAUCCAUAGCAGUUACUAAAUAGACUAAUAAGAGAUACAGAUAAUCCUUGGUAUUAUAAUAUAUUUAUAAACAUGUUUCCGAUAUUACAGCCUGUAACCACAUCAUCGGAAGACCAGCUAGGUGACUUUAUAAUCUGUAACUUUGUUGUAAUUUUGUUAUUUCAGACAAGAUUUCACGCUUUUUACCUAUUUCAAUAAUCUAAAAAAAAAAA
Molecule: long non-coding RNA, 807 nt
Organism: Monomorium pharaonis (pharaoh ant)
Lineage: Eukaryota; Metazoa; Arthropoda; Insecta; Hymenoptera; Formicidae
Exons: 2
Source: RefSeq, a predicted model, not a curated record